GUUACGAGUAGUACGGUUGACUCGUGACGACGAGGACACGCUGGGCGGCGUGCCUAAUACAUGCAAGUCGAGCGAAUGACAGAGAAGCUUGCUUCUCUUGAUUUAGCGGCGGACGGGUGAGUAACACGUGGGCAACCUACCUUAUAGAUGGGGGAUAACUCCGGGAAACCGGGGCUAAUACCGAAUAAUUCCAAGCACCUCCUGGUGCUUGGCUGAAAGACGGUUUCGGCUGUCACUAUAAGAUGGGCCCGCGGCGCAUUAGCUAGUUGGUAAGGUAACGGCUUACCAAGGCAACGAUGCGUAGCCGACCUGAGAGGGUGAUCGGCCACACUGGGACUGAGACACGGCCCAGACUCCGUACGGGAGGCAGCAGUAGGGAAUCUUCCACAAUGGACGAAAGUCUGAUGGAGCAACGCCGCGUGAGUGAAGAAGGUUUUCGGAUCGUAAAACUCUGUUGUAAGGGAAGAAUAAGUACGGUAGUAACUGGCCGUACCUUGACGGUACCUUAUUAGAAAGCCACGGCUAACUACGUG
This 533-nucleotide ribosomal RNA is filed under the name uncultured Caryophanales bacterium. RNAcentral's name for it is "bacterial SSU rRNA". It matches the Rfam family "Bacterial small subunit ribosomal RNA", at positions 1 to 507 of the family's 1533-position model. The record is from RNAcentral. Lineage: Bacteria; Bacillati; Bacillota; Bacilli; Caryophanales.